AUGUCCUCAUUGAGCAUGUCGAGCGACAAGGCGAAGAGAAGGGUGCUGUUUGCGGAGUCCGACAAAGAGUUCGUCGACGUCCUCUUCAGCCUCCUCACCCUGCCUCUCGGCACCAUCGUCCGUCUCUUCGACAAGCAGUCUCAUGUAGGAUGCCUCGACAAAGAGCGUGGAGUGUCUCGAUGUAGAAAUGUUGUCGAGUACGCCGGGGAAUGGGAAGACAUAAAUCGCCGUGCUGUUCUUGGAGACAGUAAUGAGGAUGGGGGUUUUGUCAUCAGUGACUCCAAGUUCGUCAUAACAGAUGAUCUCCAAGUUUCUCUUGCAUCCACAAGGGUUAUGUUUUCUCUGAUGGACCAAUUUGGGAUCCCGGGAAAUGGAAACAUCGAGGCGAAAGUGCUCCAACUCAAUUCUGCCAAGAUGACUAGGUUGCUCCAGAGAGCAAUGCUGACAAAGCAGCCUUUAACUGGACUGUAUUUCAAUGUUGCUAUUGGGCCGAAUGGUACAUAUCUUUGUAAGCUUCAUGAGAAUCUGUUGGCAGAACAAUCAGCUGAGGCCACUGAUCCCAACUUCAAAGCCAUCAAGGUGAGGCUUGUGCAGACCAAGGAUAACUCAUCAGUGCUGUACGCUGAGGUUGGGCAAGAUUUCGUCGACCUUGCCUUUGGACUCCUCUGUAUUCCCGUUGGAACUAUCAUGAAGACUUUUAGUCACUUGCCCCAGAACGGAUGCAUGGGUAAUCUUUACAGGAGUGUAGCUGGAAGUGUGAAAGAAGAAUGUCAAGGCGUGCUGCUGACCCCAAAGGUAGCGCCUUUCUUUGGGUGCAGCAGCAAUGUACUGCAGGUAGAAGAAUUGGCUGGUAGACGAAUCUUUGCACGUCGUUUUUUGGAGAUGAAUCCCAGAUCCCAUGAUGAUACUAGUGUUAGAGGCUACAUCAAAGGUACCCCAAUAAACUUCAUGGUGACCAACGAUCUCCAGAUUAUGCCGUUAUCCUUGACCAACACCAUCCAGCUCCUGCACGCAUCCAACAUUCCGAAGAAUAAGCUUGUGGAGAAAGAACUCAAGCUCGACAAAACCCAGGUUCUGAAGAUCGUCAGAGCUGCAUUCGAGACACGUGAAGCGCUGAGCAGCGCGCUACUCCCUUAA
RNAcentral lists this ribosomal RNA (1137 nucleotides) under Triticum aestivum (bread wheat). RNAcentral's name for it is "partial small subunit ribosomal RNA". Lineage: Eukaryota; Viridiplantae; Streptophyta; Magnoliopsida; Poales; Poaceae. The record is from RNAcentral.